Molecule: long non-coding RNA, 2226 nt
Organism: Anolis carolinensis (green anole)
Lineage: Eukaryota; Metazoa; Chordata; Lepidosauria; Squamata; Anolidae
Exons: 3
Source: RefSeq, a predicted model, not a curated record
UGAAGUGAUGCUCCUAUGCCAUCAACUCCGCUGGACUGGCCACAUUGUCCGAAUACCCGAUUGCUGUCUCCCAAAGCAGCUACUCUACUCCGAACUCAAGAAUGGGAAACAUAAUGUUGGUGGGCAGGAAAAGAGAUUUAAAGAUGGGCUUAAAGCCAACCUUAAAAACUGUGGCAUAGACACUGAGAACUGGGAAGCCCUGGCCCUUGAGCACUCUAAUUGGAAGUCAGCUGUGACCAGCAGUGCUGCGGAGUUUGAAGAGGCACGAAUGGAGGGCUUAAGGGAGAAACGUGCCAAGAAGAAGGCCCGUCAAGCCAACUCUGACCGGGACCGCCUUCCACCUGGAAACCGAUGUCCUCACUGUGGCAGAACAUGCAGAUCAAGAAUAGGUCUCUUCAGCCACCUAAGAACCCACCCCCAAGACAACAGAGAUGGAAGACAAUCCUCCUCGAACUAUGAGGGAUCGCCUAAGUAAGUAAGUAAGUAAGUGACACAAGUCCGGUGUUAUUUGGUUCACCUCUGCCUGCUUAUCAGCAGAGCCCUGGAUCCUGACAAAGAGCAAUAAUUUCAGGGAUCUCUCUACACUUGAGAGGUAAUAUAAAGUAUGAUGGCAUGCUCCCCACUACUAGCCCACUUGGAACAGUUAGCUAAUGGUUUUGGCCUACCCUGUGUUUCUCUUAGAGAAAGGGGAAACAAGUUUCACCAAAAACUACAUGGGGAGAAGGUGCGGGAUGAAGGUAAACAAACUGAAAUUUAAUCAAGACAAGACAGAGAUUCUUCUGGUCAGACAAAAGUCUGGACUAAAUAGGGUUACACUUCCCCUAAUGAUGCAGGUCUAAAGCUUGGGUGUGCUCCUGGAUUCAGUUCAAGACUGGAAACUCAGGGCCUGUCAGUGGCCAGGAGUACUUCAACUACACAAUUCCUUAAGAUGUCACACCUGGCCAUAGUGACACAUGUCUUAGCUACAUCCCAUUUGGAAUACUAUGAAACAUUCUACAUGUUAACUUGGGCUGGAUACAGGGGGCACCCAAUUCCCUUGUUAAAACACCUUCACUGGCUACCAGUACUUUCUGGGGAAAAUAUAAAGUGACCAUAAUGAUGUAUGAAGCCCUAUACAGUUGAGAUCCAGGUUAUCUGAAGGACCAUGCUCUUCUCCACGAAUAUCGUGUGUUUUGAGAUUUUCUGUGAAGGAUCUCUUCUUUGUCCUAUCAAUCUCACAGGAAUACUUAGUGAAAACCAUCCACUCUAUUUUUCUACAAGCUGGUCCUGAAGGCCAGAUCCCUUGAGAAGUAGUUCAACACCUCAGGCCUCACAAGCUGACCAAAAAUCAACAGUGUGAUGUGGAAGCUAAAAAGCCACUGCAAUUCUAGGCUUCAUUAAUAAGAAUAUCGUGUUUAGAUCAGGGGAAGGAAUAGUUCUAUUCUAUUCUGCUUUGGAUUCAAACAGCAGGAAAAGAGAUUCCACCUGAACAUUAGAAUAAACUUCUUGAUUGUAAGAGCUGCUCAAAAAUAAAAUAUGUUGCUUUGAAGUGUGGUGGAGGUUCUCUGGAGGUUUUUUGUUGAGGCUGGAUGACCAUCUCUCAGAAGUGUUUUGAUUGGGUGUUUUCUGCAUGGCAGGGAAUUAGACUGGAUGGCCUUUGUGGUCUCUUUCAGCUAUAUAAUUCUAUGAUUUCAUGAUUAUCUUCCAAGCAUAAAAAACAAUGUUGCAUAUUGACAUUUUAUAUGAAUGGUGUUAACUUUCUGGACUGUUUACUUCAAAAGGAAAAUAAUUAUAGGAGUGAGGAUAGUGUUAUUUACUAUGGUAUUGUUCAGAAUGGCCACCUGUCUAGCAAAAUGUUGAGUAGGUAAUUUGUAAGGGAACUAGGCUAAUUUUUAAAAAAAAUCAAUUGUGAUACUAUGUACAUAUAUUACACUUUUGGUAACAUGGAAAUAUGGCUGCAUGGACUUCAAGAUAGCCACUAGACUUUGUGAAAACAAAAACUUAUUGCCAUGGCUCAGUGGUCUAAACCAGUGUGGGCCAACCCGCAUACAGCUCACCAAUUCAUUUUUGUUGGCCCUUGCCCUUCUUACUGGAAACAUAUUUUAAUUUAACAUUUGGAAAAAAAAUGUUUAUCCUUCUUACUGCUUUAGGUUUUAAAAAACGUUUUCUUUCUGGAAUGUCUCUGGCCCUCACAUUCCUAUACUAAAGUUUGAUUGGCCCUUGGGUAACUAAAGGUUGGACCACACU